Molecule: small nuclear RNA, 107 nt
Filed under: Saimiri boliviensis boliviensis (Bolivian squirrel monkey)
Lineage: Eukaryota; Metazoa; Chordata; Mammalia; Primates; Cebidae
Source: RNAcentral
GUGCUCACUUUGGCAGCACAUAUACUAAAAUUGGAACAAUACAGAGAAGAUUAGCAUAGCCUCUGUGCAAGGAUGACACACAAAUUUCUGAAGCAAUCCAUAUUUAA